GCAAGUCGAACGAGGAGCUCUUAUCUUCGGACGAGAGAUUUCCUAGUGGCGAACGGGUGAGUAACGCGUUGGUGACCUGCCCCGAAGAAGGGGAUAACAGUUCGAAAGAACUGCUAAUACCCUAUGUGAUCAGUUGGAUUAGAUGCCUUCUGAUUAAAGGAGUAAUCCGCUUUGGGAGGGACCUGCGUCCCAUCAGCUAGUUGGUAGGGUAACGGCCUACCAAGGCAAUGACGGGUAGGGGACCUGAGAGGGUGGCCCCCCACAAUGGCACUGAAACACGGGCCAUACACCUACGGGUGGCAGCAGUAGGGAAUAUUGGACAAUGGGCGAAAGCCUGAUCCAGCAACACCGCGUGCACGAUGACGGCCUUCGGGUUGUAAAGUGCUUUUAGAGGAGAUGAGAAAGGACAGUAUCCUCUGAAUAAGCCUCGGCGAACUACGUGCCAGCAGCCGCGGUAAAACGUAGGAGGCAAGCGUUAUCCGGAUUUAUUGGGCGUAAAGCGCGUGCAGGCGGUCUAGCAAGUUGGAUGUGAAAGCUCCCGGCUUAACUGGGAGAGGUCGUUCAAUACUGUUAGACUAGAGAAUAGGAGAGGGAGGUGGAAUUCCGGGUGUAGUGGUGAAAUGCGUAGAUAUCCGGAGGAACACCAGUGGCGAAAGCGGCCUCCUGGACUAUUUCUGACGCUAAGACGCGAAAGCUAGGGUA
Molecule: ribosomal RNA, 702 nt
Filed under: uncultured bacterium
Lineage: Bacteria
Description: bacterial SSU rRNA
Rfam family: Bacterial small subunit ribosomal RNA
Source: RNAcentral